ACUACGGGAGUCAGCAGUGGGGGAUAUUGCACAAUGGGGGGAACCCUGAUGCAGCGACGCCGCGUGGGUGAAGAAGCGCCUCGGCGCGUAAAGCCCUGUCAGCAGGGAAGAAAAUGACGGUACCUGAAGAAGAAGCCCCGGCUAACUACGUGCCAGCAGCCGCGGUAAUACGUAGGGGGCAAGCGUUAUCCGGAUUUACUGGGUGUAAAGGGGGCGCAGACGGCGAUGCAAGCCAGGAGUGAAAGCCCGGGGCCCAACCCCGGGACUGCUCUUGGAACUGCGUGGCUGGAGUGCAGGAGGGGCAGGCGGAAUUCCUGGUGUAGCGGUGAAAUGCGUAGAUAUCAGGAGGAACACCGGUGGCGAAGGCGGCCUGCUGGACUGCAACUGACGUUGAGGCCCGAAAGCGUGGGGAGCAAACAGGAUUAGAUACCCUUGUAGUC
Molecule: ribosomal RNA, 440 nt
Filed under: uncultured bacterium
Lineage: Bacteria
Description: partial 16S ribosomal RNA
Rfam family: Bacterial small subunit ribosomal RNA
Source: RNAcentral